ACAGCUGGGUGGCUGCCGCUGAACCUGGGAACACUGGGCUCCUGAUUGUUCCCAGCCCCUGCCAGCUCCACAGAUUGCACAUCCCCAGUCAAGCCUCCUCCACUGCAGCUGGCUUCCAUGUAGUAGCUGUUCCAGAUGGGCCACCACUGCCACCAACAAGAUGAACAACAAGAAUAUAGCAAGAAACACAACUUCGGAUAUAGCAAAAAGAAAAAUGGGACUGAAAGAAAUUACCUUUCUACUUGACCCCAAGAUGUACUGUCAUGUCAUUAAUUCUGCAAAUGCAUCAGCCUGGCCUAUGUCUGGAAAACACACAGAGGAUAAUUCUAACAAUGUCAAAUCUAGUGGAAAAAGAGCCUAUUGCGAGCACCCCUAUGAGGAGAGAGGGCCAUCUGAAGACGAAUUGAUAUCUCUCAUCAACAGCCAGUAAAAUUCUGAGGCCUGCCUAUAGCUACAUGACAUCUCAAUGCAAGGUCACUUCAGAAGUCUGUAGGCUUCUAUAACAGCACACAGGAUCAAAGGAAGGACCCUCCACUCAAGAAUAAUCUGUCAUGAUUGCGGCUAAUAUCAACAUUAUCCAAGACCUUAUUUAGGUUCCUUGAAAGCUGGUAUCUGUGCAGCUUCCAUUCAGGUGGAAGGUAUUGAAAUCAUCAUAGACUGGCAAAAAUGGCCAA
Molecule: long non-coding RNA, 674 nt
Organism: Gorilla gorilla gorilla (western lowland gorilla)
Lineage: Eukaryota; Metazoa; Chordata; Mammalia; Primates; Hominidae
Exons: 3
Source: RefSeq, a predicted model, not a curated record